CCUGAACGCUGGCGGCGUGGCUAAGACAUGCAAGUCGAACGGGUGCAGCAAUGCACCAGUGGCGCACGGGUGAGUAAUGUAUCGCUAACGUGCCCCGGAGCCUGGGAUAGCUGUCCGAAAGGGCAGGUAAUACCGGAUGAGACCACGGAGAGGCAUCUCUCAGUGCUCAAAGCCGCAAGGCACUCUGGGAGCGGGCGAUAUCGUAUCAGCUAGUUGGCGGGUAACGGCCACCAAGGCAUCGAUCAGUAGCUGGUCUGAGAGGACGACCAGCCACACU
This 277-nucleotide ribosomal RNA is filed under the name uncultured bacterium. RNAcentral describes it as "partial 16S ribosomal RNA". It matches the Rfam family "Bacterial small subunit ribosomal RNA", at positions 30 to 314 of the family's 1533-position model. The record is from RNAcentral.